This 254-nucleotide ribosomal RNA is filed under the name uncultured bacterium. RNAcentral's name for it is "partial 16S ribosomal RNA". It matches the Rfam family "Bacterial small subunit ribosomal RNA", at positions 524 to 776 of the family's 1533-position model. The record is from RNAcentral.
UACGAAGGGGGCUAGCGUUGCUCGGAAUCACUGGGCGUAAAGCGCACGCAGGCGGGUCGUUAAGUCAGGGGUGAAAUCCCGAGGCUCAACCUCGGAACUGCCUUUGAUACUGGCGACCUUGGAGUCCGGGAGAGGUGAGUGGAACUCCGAGUGUAGAGGUGAAAUUCGUAGAUAUUCGGAAGAACACCAGUGGCGAAGGCGGCUCACUGGCCCGGUACUGACGCUCAUGUGCGAAAGCGUGGGGAGCAAACAGG